GGAACACUCGUGCUGGGAGGCGGCGGGAUCCUCGUCGGAGCGCUGUGCCAGGGACAGCUCCCGGUUCUGCGCGAAUCCUGGGGCGCUCAGGUCACAGGAUAUACUGGGAUUGAGAGGGUUCCUGAAAUCCGACUCUCGAGGACACGGCCCGUGGGAGAAUUGAACUCACAACCUUGGCACUACCUGGACUGUGCUCCGACUGACUGAGCCCUCUGCAUCUCAGGUAUGAAACUCCCAAGGAUGGGAAUCAUUGGCUCCAGCAAGGAAACUGCAGCUCCUUCUAUUCUGCUAAAGCAGCUUUACACACCAGCCCCUGCCACGGCUGUAGGGUAGAACUGGCUGGCAGCUGGCAUGACAGCACCGCAUCUUCCCAUCCCCUGAUUUUCCUGCCCUUUCCAGGAUUUACCCAGCAGCUGUAGAUUUGCUCUUGCCAUGUCUCUUUGUAGGGAGAAGUGAGCAGGACAGGUUCUGAGGCUUCCCUUGCUGCGUGGCCUGAGUUCUUCUGGAGAGUGGCAGGUGGCAUUUCCUGCAGGUGAGUGUUGCCCAAAUGAAGCAGCUGCUGAAGCUGGGGUUGGUUUUGUGGCCCAGAGCUGCACAGAGGCCUCAGUGCCUCCCUCUCAGUGCCAGCAAUGCUCCUUGAUGUUUCUGUGUGUCCCAGCUGCGAGGGGCAGGACGAGGCCAGGAGUCCCCGAAAGGCAUCCAGCACCUCUUGUCCUUGGGCCCUCGGGGCAAGGGCUGUGCCUGCAGCGUCCUGCCCGUGCCGAGCACACGGCCCGGGAUGGGCGCUGGGUGCCCGGCCGGCGCUGGCGCGGACACGGCUCAAGGGCUGCCCGUGGCUCCCGGGCCAGGGGCUGCUCUGAGCAGGCUCCUGGAGAUGCUCCAGCCUGGAUACAGGCCACUGACAGCCCAAAAGCAGCCCAAGGAGCAGCUGGCGUGUCCUGGUGAUGGCGGCACGGGCUGCGUGCAGAGGGGCUCAGACAGCAAUUCCUGGUUCCAGCCUCCCAGAGCUCCCAGGCAGCUGCCAGCUAUUAAAUGCCAACCGACAGCCUGCAGAGAUGCCUUCAAAUCAAAGGUUCAGGUGGGAUGAAGUUUUGUUUGGACGAAGGUGGGAGUUUCCAGGGAGCCAGCUGGAAGUGCAGAAGGGAUGGAAAGCUUUCCCAGGUACUUCCCAGUGGCACUGCUCAGACACCAGAGCUCCAACUGCAGCAGGUGAGUCCUGGAGUGCUGGAUCAGCAUGGCCACAAUGGCCAGGGAGGUGAGUGAGCACUGGGCAAGGCAGUGAGCCUGCACCUCAACACCA
This is a long non-coding RNA of Oenanthe melanoleuca, 1300 nucleotides long. RefSeq lists it as uncharacterized. The record is from RefSeq and is a predicted model, not a curated record. The transcript has 4 exons. NCBI's taxonomy places the organism in Eukaryota, Metazoa, Chordata, Aves, Passeriformes, Muscicapidae.